AACAAGGCAAACCCUGAGUUUCUGUGUCCAACUUUAACUGUCCGUCUUAUAUGAAAUUUUUUUAUAAUUCGUAUUUUCAUUGUUGUUAGAUGAUAAAACAUGAUUAAUAUUUUAUGUGUGACUUGUCUUUUUAAUUUUUUUAUAAUUUUUUCAAAUAAGACGGACGAUCAAACGUUGGGCACGGAAACCAGGGUUUGUCUUUUU
Oryza sativa Japonica Group (Japanese rice) is the source of this 204-nucleotide microRNA precursor. It matches the Rfam family "MIR812 microRNA precursor family". NCBI's taxonomy places the organism in Eukaryota, Viridiplantae, Streptophyta, Magnoliopsida, Poales, Poaceae. The record is from Rfam.